UACAUUGAAAAUACAGGAAAUGAAAAUGAGCAUUUUACUUUAUCAAUAUUUCUUAAUGUUUCAAUGAAGUAUGUAAUAAAUUAAAAGAACUAUUGUAUUGAUUAGGAAAAGUUUUUAUUUCAAGUUUGUGAUUAAAGGCUUGUUUGUUACAUUUCAAUUGUGGCACAGUUGGUUGUUUGCUGAGAAGCUGUGAAACAUAAUUAUACAGGCCAUUAAGGAGGUUUUUGUCAGAUUGAUGAAUGUGAAAUUAAGAGGACCCAUUUUGAGAAUGCUUUUUACGAAUGGAAUCAAGAGAGAUAAAGUCUAAAAUGUGAUACUGUCAAUGUGACUAACCUUGAAGUAAACAGAUGACACAAUGUUUUUUCAAUGUCAUGGGCAUAUAAUGAAGAGAAAACAGAGAUGCUUGUUUGACAGAUACAGUAAUAGUAGGAGUUAUGAGGGAAGAUAGAUUGCAGUGAUAACUAUAUUGAGGCACCAUUUCAUCACCAAGAACAUGAGAUGAAUUAUCAAUGUUUUCAAUGUGUUUGAACACCCAUUUUAAAUAAUACAGCUCAGAGUGAAUUUUUCAAAAUAAUUAAUUCUGUUUUCAAAGUUUUUUAUUUAGAUGUUAGUUGAUUUUGUCAAGUACUUUAU
This is a long non-coding RNA of Ruditapes philippinarum (Manila clam), 633 nucleotides long. RefSeq lists it as uncharacterized. The transcript is spliced from 3 exons. The record is from RefSeq and is a predicted model, not a curated record. Lineage: Eukaryota; Metazoa; Mollusca; Bivalvia; Venerida; Veneridae.